RNAcentral lists this small RNA (117 nucleotides) under Pontibacterium sinense. Its description in RNAcentral is "RtT sRNA". It matches the Rfam family "RtT RNA". From Rfam's summary of the family: This family represents a bacterial cis-regulatory element known as RtT RNA. The exact function of RtT is unknown although it is thought that it may be involved in changing the cellular response in relation to amino acid starvation. The record is from RNAcentral. Lineage: Bacteria; Pseudomonadati; Pseudomonadota; Gammaproteobacteria; Oceanospirillales; Oceanospirillaceae.
CUGCGAUAUUUGAUGGGAGGGUGAGAACCCUCGUGGUUCGAGCCGAGCGUAGCGAGACAACAGCGGAGCUCGCGACGCUGGCCCCGGAGGGGCGAAGUAAUCCCUCCCUCACCGCCA